Molecule: ribosomal RNA, 433 nt
Filed under: uncultured bacterium
Lineage: Bacteria
Description: partial 16S ribosomal RNA
Rfam family: Bacterial small subunit ribosomal RNA
Source: RNAcentral
AACGAACGCUGGCGGCAUGCCUAACACAUGCCAGUCGAACGAGACCUUCGGGUCUAGUGGCGCACGGGUGCGUAACGCGUGGGAACCUGCCCUUAGGUUCGGAAUAACUCCCCGAAAGGGGUGCUAAUACCGGAUAAUGUCUUCGGACCAAAGAUUUAUCGCCUUUGGAUGGGCCCGCGUUGGAUUAGCUAGUUGGUAGGGUAAAAGCCUACCAAGGCGACGAUCCAUAGCUGGUCUGAGAGGAUGAUCAGCCACACUGGGACUGAGACACGGCCCAGACACCUACGGGAGGCAGCAGUGGGGAAUAUUGGACAAUGGGCGAAAGCCUGAUCCAGCAAUGCCGCGUGAGUGAUGAAGGCCUUAGAGUUGUAAAGCUCUUUUACCCGGGAUGAUAAUGACAGUACCGGGAGAAUAAGCUCCGGCUAACUCCGUG